RNAcentral lists this ribosomal RNA (120 nucleotides) under Lepisosteus oculatus (spotted gar). Lineage: Eukaryota; Metazoa; Chordata; Actinopteri; Semionotiformes; Lepisosteidae. The record is from RNAcentral.
GCCAGCAGUCAUAUCAACCCUGCAACUCACCACUGACAGCACACUGAAGCUCAGCAGGUGUGGGUCUGGCCAGUACCUGGAUGGGAGACCUCCUGGGAAAAACUAUGGUUGCUGCUGGAA